Molecule: ribosomal RNA, 425 nt
Filed under: uncultured bacterium
Lineage: Bacteria
Description: partial 16S ribosomal RNA
Rfam family: Bacterial small subunit ribosomal RNA
Source: RNAcentral
GUGGGGAAUCUUGCGCAAUGGGCGAAAGCCUGACGCAGCCAUGCCGCGUGAAUGAUGAAGGUCUUAGGAUUGUAAAAUUCUUUCACCGGGGACGAUAAUGACGGUACCCGGAGAAGAAGCCCCGGCUAACUUCGUGCCAGCAGCCGCGGUAAUACGAAGGGGGCUAGCGUUGCUCGGAAUUACUGGGCGUAAAGGGCGCGUAGGCGGACAGUUUAGUCAGAGGUGAAAGCCCAGGGCUCAACCUUGGAAUUGCCUUUGAUACUGGCGAUCUUGAGUGUGAGAGAGGUAUGUGGAACUCCGAGUGUAGAGGUGAAAUUCGUAGAUAUUCGGAAGAACACCAGUGGCGAAGGCGACAUACUGGCUCAUUACUGACGCUGAGGCGCGAAAGCGUGGGGAGCAAACAGGAUUAGAAACCCUAGUAGUCC